RNAcentral lists this ribosomal RNA (468 nucleotides) under uncultured bacterium. RNAcentral describes it as "partial 16S ribosomal RNA". It matches the Rfam family "Bacterial small subunit ribosomal RNA", at positions 28 to 507 of the family's 1533-position model. The record is from RNAcentral.
GACGAACGCUGGCGGCGUGCUUAACACAUGCAAGUCGAACGGAAAGGCCCUGCUUUUGUGGGGUGCUCGAGUGGCGAACGGGUGAGUAACACGUGAGUAACCUGCCCUUGACUUUGGGAUAACUUCAGGAAACUGGGGCUAAUACCGGAUAGGAGCUCCUGCUGCAUGGUGGGGGUUGGAAAGUUUCGGCGGUUGGGGAUGGACUCGCGGCUUAUCAGCUUGUUGGUGGGGUAGUGGCUUACCAAGGCUUUGACGGGUAGCCGGCCUGAGAGGGUGAGCGGCCACAUUGGGACUGAGAUACGGCCCAGACUCCGACGGGAGGCAGCAGUGGGGAAUAUUGCACAAUGGGCGGAAGCCUGAUGCAGCAACGCCGCGUGCGGGAUGACGGCCUUCGGGUUGUAAACCGCUUUCGCCUGUGACGAAGCGUGAGUGACGGUAAUGGGUAAAGAAGCACCGGCUAACUACGUG